ACCAAAACCAGCAACGUAACCAUCGUCUCACUCUACUCCAACUACCUCCGCAACCGUCUUCGCGCUUUCUACCCCUUCCAUCCAUCCAAUCUCCUCCGCUUCCUCUCCAACCUCGCCGCUCCUUUCCGAUCGAUCCACCACCGCCAAUGCAUACCUCUUCCUCUCCCUUCCAAUUUCCGCGACUCUUCCAUGAUCAUAAAGGAAUCUAGAGUGCAUGGUGUAUUGGAGGAUAUACUGGAACAUGUUUUGUUGAACUUGCAUAGUAUAGAGAAGAAUCUCCAGUUUUGGCAAUCUAAAUCAGAGAAAUCGGAUGCUAGUAAAGCUUAUUUCAUGGUUUUUGAGAGGGGUCCGAGCGCUUUUAUCAACCAAACAGCUAAGUUGUUGUGCGGAAAUGCUGCUUAAGGAUCUGUUUUCAACUUUUCAUACAUGAGAGGGUAACGGUUUUGAGUAGCUUGAGAUAUGCUCUGGCAACAUUCUUAGCUCAGUUUUAUGUGGAAGUUGAUAAAAUUGGAGAGGAGUUGGUGAAAGAUCCACAGCAAGAGAACAUAAAAUAAAAAGACACCAUAUGCAACUCAAAAUCUUAAAAUGUCAAAUUAAUGGGUCUCUCAUCUUAUAAACUCCUCACUCUUCUAUGCUUUCUUUGAUGUGGGACUAACUUCAACACUCCUCACACUUGCAACACUAACAGAAAGUUCAAUCGGUCACCUACAUGCAGCGCAUCAGACUGAUUCUUCUGUUGAUGGAAGCUAUUCAAUUCCACUACUGUUUAAGAAGCUGCCGGAAAUAAAUCAGGAGUAUUCCCAGUGGACAGAUUGUGAAAUCAGGGAUGCUAUCAAUUCUAUAUAUCAAAAUUUACAAAAGCUGGAUUCUUACAUAUCUGUUCUUGUAAGAGCCUCUAUCUUAUGA
Molecule: long non-coding RNA, 906 nt
Organism: Arachis ipaensis
Lineage: Eukaryota; Viridiplantae; Streptophyta; Magnoliopsida; Fabales; Fabaceae
Source: RefSeq, a predicted model, not a curated record